RNAcentral lists this ribosomal RNA (406 nucleotides) under uncultured bacterium. Its description in RNAcentral is "partial 16S ribosomal RNA". It matches the Rfam family "Bacterial small subunit ribosomal RNA", at positions 30 to 526 of the family's 1533-position model. The record is from RNAcentral.
AUUGAACGCUGGCGGCAGGCCUAACACAUGCAAGUCGAACGAGUGGCGGACGGGUGAGUAAUGUCUGUGAAACUGCCUGAUGGAGGGGGAUAAUUACUGGAAACGGUAGCUAAUACCGCAUACCAUCGGAUGUGCCCAGAUGGGAUUAGCUAGUAGGUGGGGUAAAGGCUAACCUAGGCGACGAUCCCUAGCUGGUCUGAGAGGAUGACCAGCCACACUGGAACUGGAACAGGGUCCAGACUCCUACGUGAGGCGGCAGUGGGGAAUAUUGCACAAUGGGAGCAAGCCUGAGGCAGACAUGCCGCGUGGAGGAAGAAGGCCUUCGGGUUGUAAAGUACUUUCAGCGGGGAGGCGUUACCCGAAGAAGAAGCACCGGCUAACUCCGUGCCAGCAGCCGCGGUAAUAC